GCCCGCUUAGCUCAGGGGUAGAGCGCGCCACUCGUAAUGGUGAGGUCACUCGUUCAAAUCGGGUAGUGGGCA
Molecule: transfer RNA, 72 nt
Filed under: Auricularia subglabra TFB-10046 SS5
Lineage: Eukaryota; Fungi; Basidiomycota; Agaricomycetes; Auriculariales; Auriculariaceae
Rfam family: tRNA
About the family: Transfer RNA (tRNA) molecules are approximately 80 nucleotides in length. Their secondary structure includes four short double-helical elements and three loops (D, anti-codon, and T loops).
Source: Rfam by way of RNAcentral